RNAcentral lists this ribosomal RNA (423 nucleotides) under uncultured bacterium. RNAcentral's name for it is "partial 16S ribosomal RNA". It matches the Rfam family "Bacterial small subunit ribosomal RNA", at positions 360 to 775 of the family's 1533-position model. The record is from RNAcentral.
AAUAUUGGACAAUGGGGGCAACCCUGAUCCAGCCAUGCCGCGUGUGUGAAGAAGGNCUNNGGAUUNUNAAGCACUUUAAGUUGNNNNNAAGGGUUGUGGCUUAAUACUCUACAAUUUUGACGUUACCGACAGAAUAAGCACCGGCUAACUCUGUGCCAGCAGCCGCGGUAAUACAGAGGGUGCAAGCGUUAAUCGGAAUUACUGGGCGUAAAGCGCGCGUAGGUGGUUCGUUAAGUUGGAAGUGAAAGCCCCGGGCUUAACCUGGGAAUUGCUUUCAAAACUGACGAGCUAGAGUACGGUAGAGGGUAGUGGAAUUUCCUGUGUAGCGGUGAAAUGCGUAGAUAUAGGAAGGAACAUCAGUGGCGAGGGCGACUACCUGGACUGAUACUGACACUGAGGUGCGAAAGCGUGGGGAGCAAACAG